RNAcentral lists this ribosomal RNA (97 nucleotides) under uncultured archaeon. Its description in RNAcentral is "partial 16S ribosomal RNA". The record is from RNAcentral.
CUCCCUCGUUGCUGACCCCCAGGUUCGAUAGUACCAAUUAGGCAUCACCUCGCCAAGAACCAACUUCGAUGAAGCGACGGGCGGUGUGUGCAAGGAG